Small nucleolar RNA from Pelodiscus sinensis (Chinese soft-shelled turtle), 216 nucleotides. It matches the Rfam family "Small nucleolar RNA U3". Rfam says of the family: Small nucleolar RNAs (snoRNAs) are involved in the processing and modification of rRNA in the nucleolus. There are two main classes of snoRNAs: the box C/D class, and the box H/ACA class. NCBI's taxonomy places the organism in Eukaryota, Metazoa, Chordata, Testudines, Trionychidae. The record is from Rfam.
AAGACUGUACUUUUGGGGAUCAUUUCUAUAGUUAGUAACUAGAGAAAUGCAGCUGAAAGUGGUUGGUCUCAUCAGCUGUGAGAAUGAGUGAUAGUGUUCUCUUCUUAGCAUAAAGCAAGCAGCCAGUGUUGUUUUAAUAUCAUUGUUGUCUGCUGUUGAUGAUUUUUCCUUUGUUCCUUUUGGGAAGUUGGAGGAAGAGAACACAAGCUGAAUGGU